Molecule: long non-coding RNA, 276 nt
Filed under: Trifolium pratense (red clover)
Lineage: Eukaryota; Viridiplantae; Streptophyta; Magnoliopsida; Fabales; Fabaceae
Description: long non-coding RNA (TPRA_LNC010358)
Source: RNAcentral
CUCAAUAAUAAAGCUAAAAAUCAUCUCUGCAGAAUUGCUAGUGACACUCCCAAAUUGAAGCACCAAGUCAACUCCACCCAAUAAUUCAGCAUAGGGCUAUAACACUUCAGUCUUGAUUUUCUCCCUAAUUUACACCUUGAUUGUCAAAAGGGGGAAGAAAGUCUGAAAUAAAUUCUUCAUUGAUCAUAUUAUUUGUGAGAUUGGCAGCAUUAAAUGGUGGGAUUUGACUCGUCGAUUGAUUGAAAUCAACAGUAGGCCGAUAGGCGAGUUCCUGAU